UUUGUACUCCUUUUGUUUCAAAAUUCUUGUUUCAGAUUCGUCUAGAUAUAGAAGCAUGUAAUAAUACUAAAAUGUGACUUGAUACAUCCGUAUUUAAAUAAAUUUAAGACAAGAAUUUUGGGACAGAGGGAGUACAGC
Non-coding RNA from Triticum urartu, 138 nucleotides. NCBI's taxonomy places the organism in Eukaryota, Viridiplantae, Streptophyta, Magnoliopsida, Poales, Poaceae. The record is from Rfam.